This 985-nucleotide ribosomal RNA is filed under the name human gut metagenome. RNAcentral describes it as "bacterial LSU rRNA". It matches the Rfam family "Bacterial large subunit ribosomal RNA", at positions 1942 to 2925 of the family's 2925-position model. The record is from RNAcentral.
AUAACGGUCCUAAGGUAGCGAAAUUCCUUGUCAGGUAAGUUCUGACCCGCACGAAAGGCGUAACGAUUUGGGCGCUGUCUCAGCUGUAGACUCGGUGAAGUCUUAGUACCUGUGAAGAUGCAGGUUACCCGCGACUAGACGGAAAGACCCCAUGGAGCUUCACUGCAGGUUGAUAUUGGGAUUUGAUGCAGCAUGUACAGGAUAGGUAGGAGGCAAAGAGAUGGAUACGCCAGUAUUCAAGGAGCCGCUGUUGGGAUACUACCCCUGUUGUAUUGGAUUUCUAACCGGACGACGUAAAGCCGUUGACGGGACAGUGUCAGUCGGGCAGUUUGACUGGGGCGGUCGCCUCCCAAAGAGUAACGGAGGCGCCCAAAGAUACCCUCAGCUUGGAUGGAAACCAAGCGCAGAGUGCAAAGGCAAAAGGGUGUUUGACUGCGAGACCUACAAGUCGAGCAGGGACGAAAGUCGGGCUUAGUGAUCCGGCGGUGCUGAAUGGAAAGGCCGUCGCUCAACGGAUAAAAGCUACCCUGGGGAUAACAGGCUGAUCUCCCCCAAGAGUCCACAUCGACGGGGAGGUUUGGCACCUCGAUGUCGGCUCAUCGCAUCCUGGGGCUGUAUUCGGUCCCAAGGGUUUGGCUGUUCGCCAAUUAAAGCGGUACGCGAGCUGGGUUCAGAACGUCGUGAGACAGUUCGGUCCCUAUCUGUCGUGGGCGCAGGAAAUUUGAGAAGAGCUGUCCUCAGUACGAGAGGACCGGGAUGGACGCAUCAAUGGUGGACCAGUUGUCACGCCAGUGGCAUAGCUGGGUAGCUAAAUGCGGAAGGGAUAAACGCUGAAGGCAUCUAAGUGUGAAACCCACUUCAAGAUGAGAUUUCCCAUUGCGCAAGCAAGUAAGACCCCUUAAAGACGAUAAGGUAGAUAGGUCAGGAGUGUAAGCAUGGUGACAUGUUAAGCGGACUGAUACUAAUAGGUCGAGGGCUUGACCGA